Molecule: ribosomal RNA, 253 nt
Filed under: uncultured bacterium
Lineage: Bacteria
Description: partial 16S ribosomal RNA
Rfam family: Bacterial small subunit ribosomal RNA
Source: RNAcentral
UACGGAGGGUGCAAGCGUUAAUCGGAAUUACUGGGCGUAAAGCGCACGCAGGCGGUUUGUUAAGUCAGAUGUGAAAUCCCCGAGCUUAACUUGGGAACUGCAUUUGAAACUGGCAAGCUAGAGUCUUGUAGAGGGGGGUAGAAUUCCCGGUGUAGUGGUGGAAUGCGUAGAUAUCGGGAGGAACAUCAGUGGCGAAAGCGGCACCCUGGCAUUAGCCUGACGCUCAUGUGCGAAAGCGUGGGGAGCGAACGGG